Long non-coding RNA from Bubalus bubalis (water buffalo), 1468 nucleotides. RefSeq lists it as uncharacterized. The transcript is spliced from 4 exons. The record is from RefSeq and is a predicted model, not a curated record. Lineage: Eukaryota; Metazoa; Chordata; Mammalia; Artiodactyla; Bovidae.
GGCUACCCACUCCAGUAUUCUUGCCUGGAGAAUCCCAUGGACAGAGGAGCCUGGCAGGCUACAGUCCAUGGGGUAGAGAAAAGUUGGAUAUGGCUGAGCAACCAACACUAACUAAGCAAAAAGAUAUAGGGAAUGGGCAAUUUCUUUUUUCUGACAGGUAAUAUGUUUUGAAUAUUUGCUGUGUCCAGGUGCCAUUGACUUGUUUUCACAUCUUGUCCUCCUUAAGGUAAAGUUCCACCACCCUGGCUGGUCGCUGGCAUUUGUCCCAUUUAACAGAUAAGGACAUGGAGGCUUAGAGAGACUAACUCAUCUGCCCCAGGUCACACCACACCUUCAACACUUGGGCUCCACCUAGUGCUGACCGACUGCAAAGCUCCUGUGUUGCAUCGUCUACAUCAUUCCUCAUCACAGGGCAGAGACUCACAACGCUGCUGUGCAGACAGACUGUUUAGGAGACAAAGGACAACAGAACUGGGUUUUCUGUUAGCAUGGAUAUUGGCAGGCUUAAGAAAUUCAGAUAUGUGAAAGACACCUGGGAUUUCAUAGAAACUGAGAAUUUCAGGAUUCCCAGAUGACUCCGUGAACCAAGGGCCUCUAAAUGAAGCCAAAUACGUCAGGAAAAGUUGUGAUGGGAUCAAGGGGUAUGAGAAAGAGAAGAAAAAUCUAAGGCAUAAAUAUUAUGUUGAAUAUGACCCAUUGCUUGAUGGAAGCAAAAGGACUGAUUGGAGUCACCUAGGAGUUCCUACGUUGCUAGGGUCUUUGGAGGAGUAAAGCUCCAUCUUUCCCUUGGGAUUUUUGAAAGCCAGGAUGAUUUAACAUCUCUUACCAGCAGAAGAAUGCAUAACCUGACUGAUGUAAACUCAGAAAGGACAUCUUUGUUUUAGACACUUGCUCAUUGACUGUAUAAGACAACACAUGGAUGGUGCUCACAGUUAAUUUCAGGGCACAGAUGUAGGAAACACAGAGGAACACAAGGACUGCUGGAGGGUCUGGUGCCAGUGAUUCAUCAUCAGACAUGUUACAGAGCUGAAUCUCAGUGCAAAACAAUGGCUGCCUUUAACAGACGAGGGUGCACUCCAGGACAGGAAGAACAGAUGGAAAAGAAAAGAAGAGAAUCAAUCUGCUAACGUAAGAUGUUCCGUGUAGCCAAUGUUUCAUCCCAAAGAUCCUGAACGUAUAGAAAAAGUCAAGGCGGAGGCAUACCUGGACAAUUGGUUUACUUGUUCAACCCAUGUUCUCUUUGUCCUCUGAUUUCCGGACCUAGCUUUCUAAUAAUCAUAACAUUCACAUUUUCAUACUCACAGCUAUCCUUUUAAAUACCCUCCAUGUUUAUUAAGCUAGUUCUUUCCUCUUUAUUCUUUUUGUCAUGCGAGUGUAUGUUCCUCGGUUCUUUGUCUCAUCACAACAAAGAUUUGGAGUGACGGACAUUAAAGCCCCCUCGGCAUGUCACAGCUCUCGGAUCUUGGAC